UCUCCGUUGGUGAACCAGCGGAGGGAUCAUUACAGAGUGCCCGUGGCUCUGCUACCCCGUGAACCUUACCCUGUUGCCUCGGCGGGUACGCCCGCCGUAGGCCCCUAAACUCGCAAUCAGUCGCCGUAAAUCUGACUUGAUAACUAAAUGAAUAAAAACUUUCAACAACGGAUCUCUUGGCUCCGGCAUCGAUGAAGAACGCAGC
RNAcentral lists this unclassified non-coding RNA (205 nucleotides) under uncultured fungus. RNAcentral describes it as "sequence contains ITS1, 5.8S rRNA gene". The stretch from base 157 to 205 matches the Rfam family "5.8S ribosomal RNA", at positions 1 to 49 of the family's 154-position model. Lineage: Eukaryota; Fungi. The record is from RNAcentral.